CGUGUGUGAAGAAGGCCNUCGGGUUGUAAAGCACUUUUANCAGGANCGAAAUCUGCAAGGCUAAUACCCUUGUAGUCUGACGGUACCUGAGGAAUAAGCACCGGCUAACUCCGUGCCAGCAGCCGCGGUAAUACGGAGGGUGCAAGCGUUAAUCGGAAUUACUGGGCGUAAAGCGUGUGUAGGCGGUUUGUUAAGUCUGNUGUGAAAGCCCCGGGCUCAACCUGGGAAUGGCAAUGGAUACUGGCAAGCUAGAGUGUGAUANAGGAUGGUGGAAUUCCCGGUGUAGCGGUGAAAUGCGUANAGAUCGGGAGGAACAUCANUGGCGAAGGCGGCCAUCUGGAUCAACACUGACGCUGANACACGAAAGCGUGGGGAGCAAACAGGAUUANAUACCCUGGUAGUCCACGCCCUAAACGAUGCGAACUGGAUGUUGGUCUCAACUCGGANAUCAGUGUCGAAGCUAACGCGUUAAGUUCGCCGCC
This 482-nucleotide ribosomal RNA is filed under the name uncultured Luteibacter sp. RNAcentral describes it as "partial 16S ribosomal RNA". It matches the Rfam family "Bacterial small subunit ribosomal RNA", at positions 400 to 873 of the family's 1533-position model. The record is from RNAcentral. Lineage: Bacteria; Pseudomonadati; Pseudomonadota; Gammaproteobacteria; Lysobacterales; Rhodanobacteraceae.